UAGGGAAUCUUCCGCAAUGGACGCAAGUCUGACGGAGCAACGCCGCGUGAGUGAAGAAGGAUUUCGGUUCGUAAAACUCUGUUGUUAGAGAAGAACAGCGCAUAGAGUAACUGUUAUGCGUGUGACGGUAUCUAACCAGAAAGCCACGGCUAACUACGUGCCAGCAGCCGCGGUAAUACGUAGGUGGCAAGCGUUGUCCGGAUUUAUUGGGCGUAAAGCGAGCGCAGGCGGUUAGAUAAGUCUGAAGUUAAAGGCAGUGGCUCAACCAUUGUAGGCUUUGGUAACUGUUUAACUUGAGUGCAGAAGGGGGGAGUGGAAUUCCAUGUGUAGCGGUGAAAUGCGUAGAUAUAUGGAGGAACACCGGUUGCGAAAGCGGCUCUCUGGUCUGUAACUCACGCUGAGGCUCGAAAGCGUGGGGAGCGAACAGG
RNAcentral lists this ribosomal RNA (428 nucleotides) under Bacteroidota bacterium. RNAcentral describes it as "Bacteroidetes bacterium partial 16S ribosomal RNA". It matches the Rfam family "Bacterial small subunit ribosomal RNA", at positions 355 to 776 of the family's 1533-position model. Lineage: Bacteria; Pseudomonadati; Bacteroidota. The record is from RNAcentral.